Molecule: long non-coding RNA, 478 nt
Organism: Branchiostoma belcheri (Belcher's lancelet)
Lineage: Eukaryota; Metazoa; Chordata; Leptocardii; Amphioxiformes; Branchiostomatidae
Exons: 4
Source: RefSeq, a predicted model, not a curated record
GUGGACGGCUGUGCCAGUAACCCUUGUCAACAUGGAGGCGUCUGUGUUAACCAACAAGAUGGCUACGUGUGCGAAUGCCCUGCUGGGAGAAAAGGAACACACUGUGAACAGGUGGUAGAAGAGUGCAGCAGCGCCCCCUGUCUGAAUGGAGGCAGGUGUGUAGAAGGUCAUGACCUCCCAUCGUGGCUCGUACUCAGGCAUCGGGGCUACUUCUGCGAGUGCCCGAGAGGCUGGGAGGGGGGCAACUGUGAACAAGCAAUCAGUGCAUGCGCCAGCAGUCCUUGUCAGCACGGUGGACAGUGUACGGACAGCGGUGACAGCUACUCCUGCGACUGUCCACAGGGAUACAGCGGAGACAGCUGUCAGAUAGACAUCAACGAGUGCCGGAGCAAUCCGUGCCAAAAUGGUGGCAACUGUUUGGAUAAAAUCAACGGCUAUGAAUGUUCGUGUCAGCCUGGAUGGGAGGGGAGGAACUGCG